RNAcentral lists this small RNA (770 nucleotides) under Pratylenchus sp. Autumn75. Its description in RNAcentral is "eukaryotic LSU rRNA". The stretch from base 317 to 470 matches the Rfam family "5.8S ribosomal RNA". Lineage: Eukaryota; Metazoa; Nematoda; Chromadorea; Rhabditida; Pratylenchidae. The record is from RNAcentral.
GUGAACCUGCGGCUGGAUCAUUAUCGAGCUAAGCAAAAAACUCUAGUGCUUCGGCGCUAUAGUAGUGGCAGGAACUAUGUGCGGUACGUUUGCUUGACGUACGACUGCACGCCACAGUGAACCAACGGCGAUCGGUUGGUGUCUGUCCGGUUCUGAGCAGCUGUAGCCUAAGUCCGUGGCUGCGUUGACGAACCGGGGCACGCAUACGUCCUGCUAUUCGGCGGGGUAGCGGAUGCGAAGACUCAAUGAGCUCCACGCCUGGGAGCUGCCAACCAAACUUUUUUUCAAUGAAUUUUUCUUAACUAAAGACAAAUAUCAGUCUUACCGGUGGAUCACUCGGUUCGUGGAUCGAUGAAGAACGCAGCAAACUGCGAUAAGUAGCGUGAAUUGCAGACGCUUUGAACGUUAAACUUUCGAACGCACAUUGCGCCGUAGGAGUCCUACCCUGCGGCACAUCUGGUUGAGGGUCGUGAUCAAAAACAGCAGGACUAUGGCUGUAAUAGAAAUAGCUGGUGAAUCACGAGUUCGGCCUACCGCCUCUGGUCGAACGUGUUUUGCCAUAAUGCUAGAAGAGGACAAUCGCUCGCAAGAGAGAUUGCCUACCACACGGAUGAUCUAUUAGCUGAUGCGAUAGGUCUCGGUCACCGGGUAUCAUGCUUUUAUAUACUCUGUGGCGUCUGAGACACGGCUAGUGGGCUUCAUACGUGCCUGGUAUUGAGAGUAUUCGCUCUCCCGACCUCAACUCACGUGUGAUUACCCGCUGAACUUAA